This 305-nucleotide ribosomal RNA is filed under the name uncultured bacterium. RNAcentral's name for it is "bacterial SSU rRNA". It matches the Rfam family "Bacterial small subunit ribosomal RNA", at positions 335 to 665 of the family's 1533-position model. The record is from RNAcentral.
UCGCCUACGGGGCGCAGCAGUGGGGGAUAUUGCACAAUGGGGGGAACCCUGAUGCAGCGACGCCGCGUGGGUGAAGGAGCGUUUCGGCGCGUAAAGCCCUAUCGGCAGGGAAGAAGAUGACGGUACCUGACCAAGAAGCCCCGGCUAACUACGUGCCAGCAGCCGCGGUAAUACGUAGGGGGCAAGCGUUAUCCGGAUUUACUGGGUGUAAAGGGAGCGUAGACGGUGUGGCAAGUCUGAAGUGAAAGCCCGGGGCUCAACCCCGGGACUGCUUUGGAAACUGUCAUGCUGGAGAGGUAAGCGGA